Molecule: RNA transcript, 1701 nt
Organism: Capra hircus (goat)
Lineage: Eukaryota; Metazoa; Chordata; Mammalia; Artiodactyla; Bovidae
Gene: MED19
Gene name: mediator complex subunit 19
Exons: 6
Source: RefSeq, a predicted model, not a curated record
UUUAAUAAUGUUAAGGAGGAUUUCCUGAACGUUCUCAGAAGGCGACGGAAGUCGUUGCCGGAAGAAGGUAGGCAGGGCCAGAGGCAGUCCAAUGGUAAACGACUCCUGGAGGAAAAGGGCGGUACCCCGUGAAAAGAUUAACCAAUGAGAAUCAUUAACGCCAGACACCGGGACGGCGCCGGGGCAGAGGGGACGAUGGAGAAUUUCACGGCGCUGUUCGGGGCCCAGGCUGACCCGCCACCUCCCCCAGCGGCACUCGGCUUCGGACCCGGAAAGCCGCCCCCCCCGCCGCCGCCGCCUCCGGGCGGGGGGCCGGGCCCGGCCCCGCCCCCGACCGCCGCUUCGGCCCCUCCCGGGAGCGACAAGUCGGCGGCAGGCUGCGGCCCCUUCUACCUAAUGAGGGAGCUGCCAGGCAGCACCGAGCUGACAGGCAGCACUAACCUGAUCACACACUACAACCUGGAGCAUGCCUAUAAUAAAUUCUGUGGGAAGAAAGUGAAGGAGAAGCUGAGUAACUUCCUGCCCGACCUGCCCGGGAUGAUUGAUCUGCCUGGUUCCCAUGACAACAGCAGCCUGCGCUCCCUCAUCGAGAAGCCCCCUAUCCUUGGGGGCUCUUUCAAUCCCAUCACAGGGACCAUGCUGGCUGGCUUCCGCCUGCACACUGGCCCGCUGCCGGAGCAGUGCCGCCUGAUGCACAUGCAGCCGCCCAAGAAGAAGAGUAAGCAGAAGCACAAGCAGAGCCGCAGCCAGGACCCCGUCCCCCCGGAGACGCCGUCUGAUUCAGAUCACAAGAAGAAGAAAAAGAAGAAAGAAGAGGACCCUGAGCGGAAGAGGAAGAAGAAAGAGAAGAAGAAGAAGAAGAACCGACACAGCCCGGAGCACCCCGGGAUGGGCAGCUCUCAGGCCAGCAGCAGCAGCAGCCUCCGCUAAGCGGCUGGUGGACCCUGCCAGGAGGACUUCCCUGCUGGGCCGGAGGCGGCCCUGGUCAGCGCCGGGUGCAGGGGCGGAAGCCGCGCAGCCGGAGGAGCCGAUGGGGAGAUGGGCAGGGCUCCCGGCGGCCUCCGCCCGCCUCGCUUUCUCAUGGACACCUCUUCCCCUCCCAGGAAGCUUUCUGUUCACCUCUUGUGUGCAGUUUGUCUGAUGUAGGAUUUGGUCUGAUUUGUUAGGAUUUUUAUUCUCUUAAAAUUGCAUUUAUCAAACUGGCUGAAGCGUGGCUGCCUGUCAGGAGGUAAGUGCCUUUCCGUGGGAGUCAAGGUGUGAGCCGGGGAGUGCGGAGGUCUGAGGGGGCUCGGACCUUGCGUGGCAUGGUUUCCUCAGCAGGCAGGGCAGCCGCCCGAGACCAGGGAGCAGGGUCCAGGAGCGGAGUGCGCCGACGCCUUCCUGCCCCAGACUUGUUACCACCCUGCCCCCGAGACUGCCAGCUAGUGCCUGGAUGACCUUCCUGCUUAAGGCCGGCUGUGUCCUAGGGGACGGCUUGGGAGGUCACACUGCCCCGUACAUCCGUGUGGUCUGCCUUUCACUCCGUCGUCGUCCACUGGCUUGCCUCUGGCUGCAUCCAAAAGGAGCUUUACCAUCCAGAGAGAAUUCUGUUAAGGGAUUGUAGGCAAAAGUCAAGAGCUCUCUCAACUCUGAAAUGCCAAGUUUUGGUCGUUACAAGACUUUUCUGAAACAUCCAAUUAAAUCACUGAAAUAAAAACAGGA